AGCAGCCGCGGUAAUUCCAGCUCCAAUAGCGUAUAUUAAAGUUGUUGUGGUUAAAAAGCUCGUAGUUGAACCUUGGGCCUGGCUGGCCGGUCCGCCUCACCGCGUGUACUGGUCCGGCCGGGCCUUUCCCUCUGUGGAACCCCAUGCCCUUCACUGGGUGUGGCGGGGAAACAGGACUUUUACUGUGAAAAAAU
Molecule: ribosomal RNA, 194 nt
Filed under: uncultured Glomeromycotina
Lineage: Eukaryota; Fungi; Glomeromycota
Description: partial 18S ribosomal RNA
Rfam family: Eukaryotic small subunit ribosomal RNA
Source: RNAcentral